CGACAUCAUUGACAUGGCGGAAUCCCCCAUCAAACCCUCCUGGUAGUUAUUUGAGCGGCGGCGGCGGCGGCUGGAGGAGGAGAGCGGCGGCGGCGGGAGCAGCGAAGGGGGCGGCAGGGAUCCUCCAGGCUGCCGGCUGGGAAGGCGUGGGCGACCCGGUGUGUGGCGCGCCCAGAGCCCCGCGUUUCAGCCCUAGGGAAGGUAAGGCUUGAGGGAAGUUCUCCAUGAAUGUACGUCACAAUGAUGAUGACCGACCAAAUCCCUCUGGAACUGCCACCAUUGCUGAACGGAGAGGUAGCCAUGAUGCCCCACUUGGUGAAUGGAGAUGCAGCUCAGCAGGUUAUUCUCGUUCAAGUUAAUCCAGGUGAGACUUUCACAAUAAGAGCAGAGGAUGGAACACUUCAGUGCAUUCAAGAUGAAGUGGUGAAGAGAGCCUGCGAUUGAAGAUUUUUUCAUCUCAGCUUUUUCCCCCUUACCUUGUUCUCUCUCAUGUUUCAUGAUCUGUGUCAUAGAUAUUUCUUCAUUACGAGCACUUCGCGGUGUGGCUUUUCAAUGUCUGAAGUGGAUUAAGUGGCCCACAGUCAGUUCUGUGACUUGAGUUUCAAAAGUAAAAUUACCAUCAACAAUGUGAUUCAAUUUUAUUUUCUAUACUAGCUAAAAGCAAGGAACUAUAUUAUUAACAAUCUUGGCUUUACUGUAGUUUAAGGCAGGUGAUGAUGAUGCUUAUUAGUCCACCUGAAAGAGUCCUUCCAGGUUUUUGGAAGCUUUAUUCCUGCUUAUUACCUUGCCCUUGAGAAGUCCUUCAUGGAAAGUGGAAACACUGGGUUGACUUCUUUUCCCCAUAUCCUAGUUGAAAGGGACAGCUUAUAUGUAUGUUAGACUGUCCAAAAGUGUUUGUAGAACCUCAUUUUAAAAAAUCAACUGUAUUGUACUUUUUAAAAAAUGGGAUCUUAAACUCUUUAUUAAAAAUAAUAAAUGGAAAUGUGUUAAGCAAAAAC
RNAcentral lists this long non-coding RNA (998 nucleotides) under Homo sapiens (human). RNAcentral describes it as "long non-coding RNA NONHSAT194883.1". The record is from RNAcentral. Lineage: Eukaryota; Metazoa; Chordata; Mammalia; Primates; Hominidae.